Long non-coding RNA from Gallus gallus (chicken), 8111 nucleotides. RefSeq lists it as uncharacterized. The record is from RefSeq and is a predicted model, not a curated record. The transcript has 6 exons. Lineage: Eukaryota; Metazoa; Chordata; Aves; Galliformes; Phasianidae.
GGGGACAGGGAGCGGAGACACGGAAAAGUGCUGGAGUGGGGUUCUGUGCUUUACGUGCCCCAGGGCAUGGCUCAAUCUAGCAAACCCUGGAGUGAAGCUGCUAUCAGCGUGUGGAGACUGAGUGCCACCGACAGCCUGUUGUCUGUUCGUGCUCAGAGAGUUAUGUGGAAGGACAGGAGUGACUCAGUAAUAGGAAGUAUUAGUUGCACUGAGGCAAAACCAGGUGAAGUUAUUACUUGGUUACUCUGUUACCUUGGGUCAUUGUUUUGCAUCAGUCCACUGUUUGCUUAUGAAUCAGAAAUAGUAGUGCUUUCCAAAAACAUACUGUGAAUAAACACUAAUGAGCUCAAAAUGCUUAUCAGCUGUAGUAAUAACAGGUAGAUGUGUUGUUUCUCUAUAGUGGCAUAGACAGUGCAGCCAGGAUUGUUUUGCUUGCAAGCUCUUCCUGUGGCAGUAACUUUGCACAGAAGUAGACUUUUGCUUCAAAAGACAUUUUAUAACUCAUGAUACUGUGUGAUAUGCAAUGUUAGAAACAUAGAAUCAUGGAAUGACUUAGGUUGGAAGGGACUUUAAGGGUUAUUGAAUUCCAACCCCCUCCUGCGGGCUGUGUUAAGUCAUAUUUCGUAUUUUUAUGCAGAAAGUUCUCUAAUACGCUUUUAAAUAACCGCCAUUCCACAGUGCAAAUAGUUUGGGGUUUUUUCUCCUGUGUUCUUAAAACAGCACCAGUACUGCUAAGGAAGCAGUGUCUGGUUGUCUCUGGGUGAGGUGAUAGACUGAGGCUUUUGAUAUGGAGUUGGAAGAGAGAAGUUCCAGUAUAUCUGCUCACAUCUUGGCGUGAUCAAGAAAUUACUUGGAACUGGUUUGUAACUCACUGUGCCACCACACAGCUAUACUUGCCAGGGUUGAGUAGUAUUGUUUACGAGGUGCUGUCUGGAGAUGCCUCUGUAUUUGCAAGAAAAUACUGAAGCAGGUGACAGUAAGUUCAUUACAACGAGCUGAGCAGUUUAGGAAACAGCAUUUUUAUUCUCACAUUAUAAGGUGAUCUACAUAGAAAAUCAAAUGCCUUAAGUAUGCCACUGGCAAGCACUUCAAUAGAGGAAUCUGAAAACUCCAUAGGAGUUGCCCGGAGUGGUUUGUGCCGCUCUCAAGAGCAGUGCUGCCACCACCAUAGCAGGUGAGCUGGAGCUGCUGCUCUCAGGAGUACUGAGCAGAGUUGGCUGAGUUUUCCUCUGCACUUUUGCUUUAUGCAAAUCAGAGCAGGUAGCUCGCUUGUCUGGUGUUCUUUGAGUUUGUUUUUGUUUAUUUUUUUGUUUUUCUGAUCUAUUCUAGAAAGAUACACCACAAAGAAGCACCAACUGCCUGGUAUCUUUAAGCUUUGCUUCUGAGAGUAUUUUGUUCUGUAGUUUAUCACUUGCCUGCUCAAGUUUGUUUGGAACUUCCAUACUGCUAAAUAGGACAACUGUUCUGUGUGAGGAGGAGGAGUUAGGUGGCAAAACUUGCUCUCCUUUGGAGUCCAUUUGAAAUAUAGUGACUGAUGAAGGCCAAGGAGCAAUUCUGCAAUUGUUUAUUCACUGUAUGUGUCCAUGACCUGGAAGAAGCGUGCAGGAAUGGGCUAAAGCAGAGAUGCUUCUGAGAUGGCACAAAGUGUGUGUUGGAGGCAGACAGGAGGAGUGGGCAGAUGGCAGUCAGAACAAAACAGGGAGUUCAAUAACUUGGGACAGCACUGAGCUGCUCUAUCUGGAGAACACCCUUCUAACCAUAAAGGGGAGCUGCUCUGUCUAAGAUUGAGUGUAAGACAUAAAUGAUCCUCCAAAGAAGCUUUUCUCAAAAAAAAAAAGAGCUUAUUUUCUGAAGACAACUUUGUCACUUGAACUAGAGAUGCUUCUUACCUUGACUGAAAAGGCAGACUAUGGGCACAAACUGGAAGACUCCUCAAGGUGACCGACUACUUUGUACUGCUGGACACCUGCAGUGAUGUAUAGUAGUCUGUUGCUGUAAACAUCCCCGACUGGAAGCUGUAGCAGCUCGAGCUUUCAGUCAGAUGUUUGCUGCACCUGGCUAUACCUGGACAGCAUCAGGAGGAAAAGAUGUCAUAAACCUGUAUGCAUAGAUACAUAUCUAGUAGUUUCUGUAGACACGCUGAACUGCCUCCAAGUGAGUUAACUUGAUUUUUAUUAAUAUUGCUGGUAUGAUUGAUUACAAGCUAAUCUGUAACAGGCAGGAAAUACAGAGGUAUUGCAUAUAUGUCACUCAGAACUGAAUUCUCUGCUGCUCCAUGGUAUGAGCAACAGAACUAUGCCUCUCUGGAAUUUAACAGCAAGAGGUGUUUAAUUUCUUGUACAAAUAUACAUAAACAAAACUCACCUUAUGAACUACCUUUUUUAAUGGCAUCUGCUACUUACUGAUCUGUAGAAAAAUGAUUAAUAUUGUUGAAUACUUAGCAAAUAUUUUAUUUGCUGUGCCUUGUUUUUGCUUUCUGAAAUUCCAUGUUCUGCCUCUCCUAUGAGUGGGUGGUGCUCUUAUUGUUUGUAAGCUGGAUGUAACCCAAGGCCACAAUAAAGGUUAAAAAAAAAUUGCACAGGAUGUAUGUUUGUAGUAAAACAAUGCCAAAUGUAUACAGUUGUUUGUGGUACAGUCAUCUUGUUUUGUACUACCAUUAACAAAGAUUAUUUUUCACAUAAAGAACAGUUUUUGAAAGUCCUUCUUCAGAGUUCUCUUCACUAAUUCUUGACUUAAAGUAAUCGGUUCAUUGAGAACAGCACUCAGCAACACAACUUCAGUACUUUCCACUUUUCUCAGUGAGGGAUCUAGGAAGUGUGUUCUGCUGAUGUAAUUUCCUGGACCUUGUCUGGGACUUUUCUUCUCUUUCUCUAUAGUUCUUUAUUUGUAAAGGAUGGGAGCAGAAUAGCCUAAAUGAGUGCUUACUACUCCAACAACAGCAGAAUUCAUUCCUGCACUACCUUAGCUUUCCAGUCUUCCACCUCUGAAAAUGUUAGUUUCAUAUUCUUUGACAUUCAGCAGGCAAAUUUUAUGUUCAGUUUAUUUGAGAGUAUGUUAAUAUAGAUUAAAAGGGUUAACAAGAUCUAACUUUGCUAUAGGAAUUCUGUAGACUGUAUGCAAAGAUACAAAUACUUUAAAAAAAUAAAAUUUCUGGUUUCUUAAAACUAUGAGGAUUCCUUGGGCCUGGAAAGGAUAGACUACAAGUAGUGCAGAGGCAGUGAUUCUCAAGCAUGUCAUGAACGGCCACCUGUGAACUGAGGGGAACCAUUCUUCUGGGGCAGUCGUGUGACUUUAAAUACAGAGCUGCUGUGAUGUGGUUCACCUGUCUGCUGGCACAGCAGUGCGUGGUGAUCGAAGGUUCUGAACUUACUGAUAGCACUACUGCAAUUAUCUAUUUUUGGAGUAGUUCAUACACAAUACAGUUUCUAUUAAAGAACAUGUCUUAAAUAUGAUGUUUGGCUUGGGUACAUUGUCAAAUUAGAAAGAGAAAUAUAAGCAGCAUUUACAAAUCCUUUUUUUUUUUUUAAAGGAGAACACAAGUGCUAGUCAUUUUUCCAGAUGUUCUUUGCUGGAAAUGCUUGGCAUUCCCUAGUUUUACGUACUACUUGGACUUAGAAGGAAUUAAGUGUUGUCUGUUAACAUUCUUCACUGAAUGAUCAAAGUAAAUGUUAUCUCAUAGUUAAUCUUGUAGUCAUUUUUGUUAGUGCUGUCUUGGCCUUUUCACAAGCUAGAUAAGAGUAGUCAUGUGCAGUUCAUCAGUGCAGUCUUGUGGAAUUUUAUUUAUGUGCUAGUAUCUAAUACAAUCUCAAACACACUAAUACAGUCUCAAACACAGCCAUCAUGCUUCUUUACAUGAAAGCCAACUGCAGUGGUGUGUAACUAUGGGAAAUAAAUAAACCCACGCUGCAUUUUUACAUUGCGUUUUUGUUUGGGAUUUUCUUGUGAAGAGCUUGAAAAGCCAGGAUCUCUGAACGUAUCUCAAACAUUUCUGCGUGCAGAUGAAGUGCAGUCUUUCCAGAUAUUGUGUGUUUACACAAUGAUUUAAGUUGAAUCAUUGAAUUUUAGGAAUGGAAGAGGCAAAUUUGACAUGCCAGCCUAAUCAUCAGCAAAGCUAAUUACGUCAUCUUGUUAACGUGAUGACUGCAACUAUUGCUUAUGAUAGAAGGAGACAUAAAUAAAUUUCUCAUGUUUUAUGGUGCACUCACAUCAUAGUGGAGGCAGAUAGCUAAUGGACGAAGUUGCUAGUCCAGAGGCUGGCAGCAAAGUUGUGAAUGUGCUGCUAAUUCUGGAUAACUGUCAUGCCUAGCACAAGUAGGAAUGGACAUGCAGACGUUUGGAAGUGGAAGCUAGGUGGAAUACCAUGAUCCCUGCUUGCUGAGCAAGUGGAGUGCUUAUGAAGAUGCAUGUUUAGAGUCUGAAUUAGUUGCCUGUGGUUUUUAUGACCACUUAACAGCAACAUGUCAAACUCUUUGGUAACUUCAGGCUGGUUUUCAUGAAGGUCUCCCCUUGCUGUGAACUUGCAGCUGUGUUCUGUAGAAAUGCUUGAGCUCAUGUUUUUUUCUUCAUACAAAGAACCAGCUGUGAAGUGUUCAGAAGGCUUCCACCAGCCUCUGCAUAUGAAGAGAAAUCUGCAUCUGUGGUUCCUUCUCCCCAGUAAAUCUACAAAACACCUGCUCAGACAAGAGCUUUGAGAAGGCUGACAGAGUUUAUAAAGCAUUUUUUCCCGGUUUGCUAAUGUUCUGGUUAUUCAAGGCUUUAGAUGCUAAGUAAGCUGCACAUUUGAAAUCUAAAAUAAGUUUUGAAGCUUAACUGAUAGUGUUCUGUUCUCUCACUAUUAAAAUGACUCAUCAUUCUGAGUAACAAUGUGUGUGGAGAAAACUAAGAAGAUUGAAACAGCAGGGAAAGAACCUUGGAAGCAGUUUUAGAAUGGGAGUUAGUUUAGGAAAACCUAGUAGUGCAGCUAGGAAGACAAGCAAAUGUAACAAUAGAAGCUGUAAAAUUUAGCAUAUAAAGGAAACUGCUGAAAUUUUUGGUACCACAGGAGUUGAAUUUUUGCACAAACCAUUUGAGAAGGACAUCCUUGAGGACUGUUUUCUGGCUUGUACUACCCUAUUGAUGUCCCAUAUAUAUUUUGGUGUUGAGCAUCAAUUCUGAUAAUGAUUUACAUUUGAGGUUUCUAGAAGUGCCUACUCCAAGCAUCAAGAGUCUUGGCAGGUAAGUGCAACAGAGAUAGUGAAUUCCAGCAGCUGUGAGAAUAGUUUUAUUCUGUUUUUCCCUGUUAUCUCUGUAGUAUUAGAAACUGUACAAAUACAUUACCGUGUUCUGAUAUUUAUAAGGUUAAUUGUUAAAAAACAGUGCUCCAACUUUACGUCAGUAAGCUUUAAUAACUGUUGCAAAUGCCUUCUGAGUAGCAUAAGCUGUAGCGCACACAGCGUAUUGAAAUAUGCCUGUGCCGAUUCAUUUUUGGAUAUCUUGAAAGCCAAUGCUGUAUUUAUAUUGUUAAGCUAACUUUUAGUUCCUGUAAACAUCCUACACUCAGCUAUAACAAGUGGUAGGGCUGGGGGGUGGAUGUUUACUUCAACUGACUUGGAAAGGCAGCUUUCCUGAAUGAUCAAGUGACAUUUUGGCAAGAACGGAAUGCUAUAUUUCAGUGGUAUUCAGAUAAGCUUAUUGUAUUGUAAAUACUCUUCUUUCUGUGGAAGUACUGUAUUUCUAUAAAUGUCUUAAUGCAUGAUUAUUGUAAAGCAGUCUUUAACUGCUAAAUUGUGUAUCAUUUUGAUUGCAAAUAAACUGUGAUCCUGUAUCUUUGUCUUGAAAAGUACAUUCUGGUGUCCUCAGCUCACCUAGGAUACACUCUUGAUAAGAAUAUACCCAGAAUCUGUUACUGAGCAUAAAUUGAACAAUUUGCAGCAGCCAUUUCUUAUUUAUGACCAACUUCUUCAGUGUCAGAGGAAGAGUGGAUAUGUUGGACAAUGAUAAGUAAAGACAACAGUAUAAAAUAUUUAAGUGGUAGAACUAUUUAGAUGUAACAAUUCUGUUGGUUUUGGUAUCUAACAAAAUGAGGAAUGUCUUGCUUUGAUUUGGAAAACUUGGAUAGAAGAACAUGGAAGGAGAUGAUCGUUAGCUUUCCAUUUAACUCAUUUUACGUUAUAUCUUACGUGAUAGGAUCCCAUAAGUGGAUGUAUUGUUAAAUGAAAUAGAGCUCCAGCAUUUUGAGAAUAGGAAAUACUAGAUUUAAGUGUUCAAAAAAGAGCUCAGGAGUGGUUUUGUUUAGGCAGAAGAAUGAAGGACAUGGGAUGCAUUGUUGUGAUGUGUAACCUGCUUUUUUGAGGAUCACUUCGAAAAUGCAUUCCUUUAAUAUUAGGCUCCUGAUGCGCGAUGUAUUUCCUACUUAAGGCAAACAGGUGAAAAUUACCAAGAGGAUUUUUAUCUUUUAAGAUGCAGAAGCAUAUUUUUGUUAUAUUAUUUCUUGUGUUUAUUAUGUCUUGCCGUGCUGCUUACUUUUGUUUCCAUGCUGAAGAAGUCUUUUAAUCAGAAGUCCUGGGGAGGUCUAAAAAAAUAAAUGGCACUGCAAUCAAUUGCAUGCAAAAGAAUGCAUCAGAAGUUCUGUAUUUACACAGAACUUCAUAGUGUGAACAGUGCAGUACCAUCACAUAUUACUGUGUAUGUGCAUGCAUGGUUUAAAAACUUUGCUUUUUUGAACUAAUGUCACCUGUUCAGUUGGUGCAGACCUCUGAGUUUUUCAGUUGAAGUGAGCCAGGGAAGCCUUGGGGAAGUGAGUUGUCCUCUUCAGAAGAGAUCCUGUGUUGAAGGGGAAGCUUACCUGCAGAACAGUCUGCAUUUCUUUCUACUUUAUUCUCCAGUUAAGUGCCCCACGGCAUCACUAACUUCACUCCGUUGCUACUGGAGAUGCUUUUUCCACCUGCUCUGGCUGGCAUGACAUGCAGCCAUGCUGAUGUAGCCAUGGCAUCGUGCAGUGGGGUUCGACAGCAAGAAGGAAUCCUCAAAUCAACAUUACCACCAGUCAAAAGGUGCAAAGACUCCUCUCAGCAAGCACCAUUUGUCUGGAAAUAAGAGCUACUGUGGGGGUAGCGAGUAAGCAGUGUGAGCAGACUGGGUGUGGGUGUGUAUGUGGGGUUUCAGUGGGUUUAAAUGCACUUGAGAUGUAAAAUUCAUGUUACAAAUAGGUACAAAACAGUAGUCUGAGUGGUUUUAUCAAAGGAAAAUCUUGACUUUUUGACGUGACUAUUAAAAGAUAGGAGAAAAACGUUAAACGGUGACAUUGGUGAAUGACCUGUUGAAAGUUUAAGAUUUAAGAUACGCUUUUUCAGAGUAUUUUGGAUUUGCAGCACUGUGAAUUCUGUAGUGGUCUGGGAAACAGCUGAAGUGUAGCCGUUCCUUGGAUAAAUGCAUGUUAGACAACAGCAAUACUCUUGCUGAAGGAUUCCAAGCAGGUUGGCUGCCCGUAGGGGAGACAGCCCGCUCUGAAAGAGUGACAGCACCAAUAGUAUGGAAAGAGAGCUCUGAAGGUAAGCCAAACUCACGUGCGUUUGUUCCCUUUUGCUUUGGCUUCAGGAGAGGAUUCAGUAACUGACUGGACGUGUGUGUGCAUCCUUACUUGUACAGCUUUGCUGCAGGUGCUGAUGUGAAAAGUAGCUGUUGGUUAAUGCUCACCAUUCCGGGUUGUGCUAAAGGAAAACAAAAAGUCAGACUUCUAACCUAGAAUAGUUCUAAAGACUCUAAGCAUAGCACCACCAAACUUAAAACUUCUGAAGCACGCUCGUUUUUCAUCCACUGUGUCGGUGAUUUUUGGACAGAUAAGUCACAGUCCCAUGGCCCCCAUGACGGCAUAAAGCAAGGGUGGGUAAACAGCUGGAAAAGGCCACCAUGUGUGUGAUUGAUACGAUGGUCCAGAAGCUCUACUGAGAUAUGGUGGCAAAGGUAAGUCAUGUAGUGUCAGUCAUCAAAUUUGUCUCGAACACAGGCACAGUUGAUGUAUUUUUUUGUUACUUUUGAAAGCAUGCAUUUACUCUUCUGUUUGAUUCUACCUGUUUUCGUUUUCCUGAUGGUAAAAAUCCAAACUUAUAUCAAUAAAAGUAUGUUGAUAUCGA